GAUGAACGCUAGCGGGAGGCCUAAUACAUGCAAGUCGAACGGCAGCAAUUCGGUUGGCGAGUGGCGCACGGGUGAGUAACGCGUACACUACCUACCUCGUACUGGGGAAUAGCCCUGGGAAACUGGGAGUAAUACCCCAUAAUAUCGCAAGAUUAAAGUUCCGGCGGUACGAGAUGGGUGUGCGUCUGAUUAGCUAGUUGGUGAGGUAACGGCUCACCAAGGCGACGAUCAGUAGGGGGCGUGAGAGCGUGGCCCCCCACACGGGUACUGAGACACGGACCCGACUCCUACGGGAGGCAGCAGUAAGGAAUAUUGGGCAAUGGAGGCAACUCUGACCCAGCCAUCCCGCGUGCAGGAUGACGGCCCUAUGGGUUGUAAACUGCUUUUAUAUGAGAAGAAAGGUUGUCAUUUAUGAUGAUUUGACGGUAUCAUACGAAUAAGCACCGGCUAACUCCG
Molecule: ribosomal RNA, 456 nt
Filed under: uncultured Saprospiraceae bacterium
Lineage: Bacteria; Pseudomonadati; Bacteroidota; Saprospiria; Saprospirales; Saprospiraceae
Description: bacterial SSU rRNA
Rfam family: Bacterial small subunit ribosomal RNA
Source: RNAcentral